GGAUAACCUGCCCUUGGGACCGGCAUAACCCCGGGAAACUGGGGAUAAUUCCGGAUAACGCAUAUGUGCUGGAAUGCUUUAUGCGUAAAAUGGAUUCGUCUGCCCAAGGAUGGGUCUGCGGCCUAUCAGGUAGUAGUGGGUGUAAUGUACCUACUAGCCAGCGACGGGUACGGGUUGUGAGAGCAAGAGCCCGGAGAUGGAUUCUGAGACAUGAAUCCAGGCCCUACGGGGCGCAGCAGGCGCGAAAACUUUACAAUGCGGGAAACCGUGAUAAGGGGACACCGAGUGCCAGCAUCAUAUGCUGGCUGUCCAGGUGUGUAAAAUACACCUGUUAGCAAGGGCCGGGCAAGACCGGUGCCAGCCGCCGCGGUAACACCGGCGGCCCGAGUGGUGAUCGUGAUUAUUGGGUCUAAAGGGUCCGUAGCCGGUUUGGUCAGUCUUCCGGGAAAUCUGACGGCUCAACCGUUAGGCUUUCGGGGGAUACUACCAGGCUUGGGACCGGGAGAGGUAAGAGGUACUACGGGGGUAGGAGUGAAAUCUUGUAAUCCCCGAGGGACGACCGAUGGCGAAGGCAUCUUACCAGAACGGCUUCGACAGUGAGGGACGAAAGCUGGGGGAGCAAACCGGAUUAGAUACCCG
RNAcentral lists this ribosomal RNA (639 nucleotides) under Methanosarcina sp. enrichment culture clone A2-9. RNAcentral's name for it is "bacterial SSU rRNA". It matches the Rfam family "Archaeal small subunit ribosomal RNA", at positions 102 to 739 of the family's 1478-position model. Lineage: Archaea; Methanobacteriati; Methanobacteriota; Methanomicrobia; Methanosarcinales; Methanosarcinaceae. The record is from RNAcentral.